GACGAACGCUGGCGGCGUGCUUAACACACGCAAGUCGAACGGAAAGGCCCUGCUUUUGUGGGGUGCUCGAGUGGCGAACGGGUGAGUAACACGUGAGUAACCUGCCCUUGACUUUGGGAUAACUUCAGGAAACUGGGGCUAAUACCGGAUAGGAGCUCCUGCUGCAUGGUGGGGGUUGGAAAGUUUCGGCGGUUGGGGAUGGACUCGCGGCUUAUCAGCUUGUUGGUGGGGUAGUGGCUUACCAAGGCUUUGACGGGUAGCCGGCCUGAGAGGGUGACCGGCCACAUUGGGACUGAGAUACGGCCCAGACUCCUACGGGAGACAGCAGUGGGGAAUAUUGCACAAUGGGCGGAAGCCUGAUGCAGCAACGCCGCGUGCGGGAUGACGGCCUUCGGGUUGUAAACCGCUUUCGCCUGUGACGAAGCGUGAGUGACGGUAAUGGGUAAAGAAGCACCGGCUAACUACGUG
RNAcentral lists this ribosomal RNA (468 nucleotides) under uncultured bacterium. Its description in RNAcentral is "partial 16S ribosomal RNA". It matches the Rfam family "Bacterial small subunit ribosomal RNA", at positions 28 to 507 of the family's 1533-position model. The record is from RNAcentral.